Mya arenaria is the source of this 747-nucleotide long non-coding RNA. RefSeq lists it as uncharacterized. NCBI's taxonomy places the organism in Eukaryota, Metazoa, Mollusca, Bivalvia, Myida, Myidae. The transcript is spliced from 4 exons. The record is from RefSeq and is a predicted model, not a curated record.
CUUGUCAUUAUGUUAAAACACUCAUUGUUUCCAUGAUGUAUUUACAAAAUAUAAUUAAUUGGUGCAUUUAUAGUUUGCUUGUUCCAUGGAAAUGUUUUGUGGAAUUAUUGAAAAUGAUUUGUAUGCCUUUGUUAAGGAUCGUCAUGUUAGGACUGCAUAUCAUAUCUGGACACUGGAAGCAACACGCAUUCAUCUACAAUUACAACGCAGAUGAAAGAGAAUGGAAUUUGUUGAAAAAUAUGAUAUCAACGAAAGUCGCAAUAGAGGAGGCAACGUGUAUACUGGUUCUUAUAAAGUACGAUCACACAAGGAUAGAAAAUUGCGUAAGCCCUUGCAUUGAGAAAAUGAUGGCAGAUGAAAAAAUGAGAGAUAAAACAAAAAUCCUUAUUAUUUACAAUGAGAAACAUCAUGGAUACUUUGAUGAUGAAAGAAUCGCUGGUUUGUGGAACUGUACAAUGUAAAACAAAUAAACAUAGAGGUUUUAAAAAAAAGAGGUAAAGUGUUCCUCUACCUUUAUUUCACAAUACAUAAUGUCUAAAUUUACUAGACUUUCAUGUUUACAUUUUUUUUCUACUGACUCAAUGAUUGAACUAAAAAUACUAUAAAAAGUCAAUGUAUUUGCUUACAUUCUUGAAUCAUAUAUAUUGAUUGUGAUGUGUUAUUGUUUUGUUCUAUGUCUUUGGCGAUUACCCUGUGCCAUUAAAUUUGAUUUAUGUUUAAACUUCUGGCUACUGAGUUUGUUUCUGU